GUCUACGGCCAUACCACCCUGAACGCGCCCGAUCUCGUCUGAUCUUGGAAGCUAAGCAGGGUCAGGCCUGGUUAGUACUUGGAUAGGAGAAGUCAUAUUGGAAGUGGUGUAAC
Ochotona princeps (American pika) is the source of this 113-nucleotide ribosomal RNA. The record is from Ensembl. NCBI's taxonomy places the organism in Eukaryota, Metazoa, Chordata, Mammalia, Lagomorpha, Ochotonidae.